AGAAUCAACGCUGGCGGCGUGCCUAACACAUGCAAGUCGCACGAGAAAGGGUAGCAAUACCUGAGUAAAGUGGCGCACGGGUGAGUAACACGUGAAUAAUCUACCUCCGAGUGGGGAAUAACUGAGAGAAAUCUUAGCUAAUACCGCAUAACACUUACGAGUCAAAGCAGUAAUGCGCUUGGAGAGGAGUUCGCGGCAGAUUAGCUAGUUGGCGGGGUAAUGGCCCACCAAGGCGAUGAUCUGUAUCCGGCCUGAGAGGGCGCACGGACACACUGGAACUGAAACACGGUCCAGACUCCUACGGGAGGCAGCAGUGGGGAAUUUUGCGCAAUGGGGGAAACCCUGACGCAGCAACGCCGCGUGGAGGAUGAAAUCCCUUGGGAUGUAAACUCCUUUCGAUAGGGAAGAUAAUGACGGUACCUAUAGAAGAAGCCCGGCUAACUUCGCGCCAGCAGCCGC
This 459-nucleotide ribosomal RNA is filed under the name uncultured bacterium. Its description in RNAcentral is "SSU rRNA". It matches the Rfam family "Bacterial small subunit ribosomal RNA", at positions 26 to 518 of the family's 1533-position model. The record is from RNAcentral.